AUUGAACGCUGGCGACAGGCCUAACACAUGCAAGUCGAACGAGUGGCGGACGGGUGAGUAAUGUCUGGGAAACUGCCCGAUGGAGGGGGAUAACUAAUGGACACGGUAGCUAAUACCGCAUACAUUCGGAUGUGCCCAGAUGGGUUGAGCUAGUAGGUGGGGUAACGGCUCACCUAGGCGACGAUCCCUAGCUGGUCUGAGAGGAUGACCAGCAACACUGGAACUGAGACACGGUCCAGACUCCUACGUGAGGCAGCAGUGGGGAAUAUUGCACAAUGGGCGCAAGCCGGAUGCAGCCAUGCCGCGUGUAUGAAGAAGGCCUUCGGGUUGUAAAGUACUUUCAGCGAGGAGGCGUUACUCGCAGAAGAAGCACCGGCUAACUCCGUGCCAGCAGCCGCGGUAAUAC
Molecule: ribosomal RNA, 406 nt
Filed under: uncultured bacterium
Lineage: Bacteria
Description: partial 16S ribosomal RNA
Rfam family: Bacterial small subunit ribosomal RNA
Source: RNAcentral